This 200-nucleotide unclassified non-coding RNA is filed under the name soil metagenome. Its description in RNAcentral is "partial contains internal transcribed spacer 2 and large subunit ribosomal RNA". The record is from RNAcentral.
GUUCGAGCGUCAUUAUGACCAACUCACGCCUAGCGUGGUCUUGGGGCUCGCGGUUUACGCGUCCCUUAAAAUCAGUGGCGGUGCCUCUGGCUCUAAGCGUAGUAAAUUUAUCCUCGCUACAGAAACCAGGUGGUGCUUGCUAGCAACCCCCAAUUUUUUAGGUUGACCUCGGAUCAGGUAGGGAUACCCGCUGAACUUAA